Molecule: long non-coding RNA, 1347 nt
Organism: Prosopis cineraria
Lineage: Eukaryota; Viridiplantae; Streptophyta; Magnoliopsida; Fabales; Fabaceae
Exons: 2
Source: RefSeq, a predicted model, not a curated record
UAAAAAAGAAAAAAAUAAAAAUAAAAUCAUCAGAUAUUCUAUCCCUCCUCCAAUCUCCAUUCCGUUAUCGGCACUGCACCCAGAGGGAGAGAAGAGCCCGACCUCCUCUUCUCUUCUUCCUCCUUCCUCGUUUGAUCUGUCACUCACCGGUCAUCGUGAGUGCGUCCGUGCCGUUCCUGGACGUUUGGGUCGCAAGGCUCUUCCUCUCUAUCCCCAUUUCUAGUUUCUACUGCGUCUGCCGAGAGAGAGGGGGCUCCGAUUGAUGUUUCUGUUCCCUCUUCUCGCGGGUGAGUGCUUUCACGAAGGAGCUGGAUUUGUCGUCAUCAAGGGUUGUCGAUCAGUUCGUGAGCUCUCUUUCCUUCUCCCCUGUUUUAUCCUGCCGAAAUCAUCUUCUCCCUGUUCGCCACUGCCGUUGAUGUACCAAACUUGUAUCUCAAGGUAUUAAUUGAGGAGUUCUAUUACUGAAUUGAAGUGGAAGAGUUACUUGAGACAAGUCUCAAUUCGAUGAGAAUUUGAACUUUGUAUUUUUGUCUAAGUGUGGCCCUAGGUGCUCCACAUAAAUUGUAGGUAGGAUCCUUGUUUUUCUUCUAAGAUUAUAUAUUUGACUUGAUAUUGUAAAUCGUUGUUGUAGAAAUUUCUAAAAGUCUUAUUUUUAGAAGAGGUUUUUUUAUUUUUCAAAAUUUCGUUAUAAGUUCGUGAUUUCUGGUUUAUAUGAAAAGUAUAAUAAGAAUUUCUAGUCAUCAUAUUAAGGCAUUUAAAGUACUAACUAAGGAGUUUCUCCUAUCAAGGCUUAAUAGAUGUGAGUUUUGUGCCUAUAUUUUGUGUACGUCACACCUGAAUUUUGGGGUAUAACAGAAUAUAACCUCUUUAUGAAAUUAUGAAACGAAUCUUAACUUUAAAAAUUUUCAAAAAUUUAGUCCAAUAUAAUAGACCUGCGUAUCUUUUUUUGGGAUUUCAUUUUCAUUGCUUCUUGUUCCUCAGCUUUAAAAUUCUCUAAUUCUUGAGUUGUUUUCACCUCUUUCAAGUUUAUUUCUUCUCUUGCUACUCUUGUGAUUGUACAUCUUGUUUCGCACUAUUUUCUGCAAUGAGAAAGUCGGAUCAGGUGGAAAUUCCCAUGGAAGCUAAUAAUUUAACCACGAAGGGACCGUGCUAUAGCAGAUUGCAGGAACUGUUGAAGAAGCAGUUCGUUUCAUCAAUUCUUUUUCUGGUUACUCUGCAUUUUUCUUAGAUUUAAAAGGGCAUUUUUAUCUCACUUUUUUUAGGUGCAAUGAUAAUUGUAAUAUCAAAGGUGGCGCAAUGUCACACUUUAAGUAUUAAAAAAAUUGCAAUAAUAUUGCCUGCCCUCCA